GUGUUUGGCACCUCGAUGUCGGCUCAUCACAUCCUGGGGCUGUAGUCGGUCCCAAGGGUAUGGCUGUUCGCCAUUUAAAGUGGUACGCGAGCUGGGUUCAGAACGUCGUGAGACAGUUCGGUCCCUAUCUGCCAUGGGCGUUGGAGAUUUGAGAGGGGCUGCUCCUAGUACGAGAGGACCGGAGUGGACGAACCUCUGGUGUUCCGGUUGUCACGCCAGUGGCAUUGCCGGGUAGCUAUGUUCGGAAGCGAUAACCGCUGAAAGCAUCUAAGCGGGAAGCGCGCCUCAAGAUGAGAUCUCCCGGGGCACAAGCCCCCUGAAGGAACCAUGUAGACUACGUGGUUGAUAGGUCAGGUGUGUAAGUACAGCAAUGUAUUGAGCUAACUGAUACUAAUGAUCCGUGCGGCUUGACCAUAUAACCUCA
RNAcentral lists this ribosomal RNA (424 nucleotides) under Streptomyces harenosi. Its description in RNAcentral is "partial 23S ribosomal RNA". It matches the Rfam family "Bacterial large subunit ribosomal RNA", at positions 2514 to 2925 of the family's 2925-position model. Lineage: Bacteria; Bacillati; Actinomycetota; Actinomycetes; Kitasatosporales; Streptomycetaceae. The record is from RNAcentral.